UACGAGGGGUGCAAGCGUUGCUCGGAAUUAUUGGGCGUAAAGGGUAGGUAGGUGGUCUCAUUUGUCUGGGGUGAAAGCCUUGAGCUUAACUCAAGAAGUGCCCUAGAAACGGUGAGACUGGAGUCCUGGAGAGGGUCGUGGAAUUCCUGGUGUAGCGGUGGAAUGCGCAGAUAUCGGGAGGAACACCGGUGGCGAAGGCGGUUCUCUGGGCCUUACCUGACGCUGAGGAGCGAAAGCGUGGGGAGCAAACAGG
Molecule: ribosomal RNA, 253 nt
Filed under: uncultured bacterium
Lineage: Bacteria
Description: partial 16S ribosomal RNA
Rfam family: Bacterial small subunit ribosomal RNA
Source: RNAcentral